This is a long non-coding RNA of Physeter macrocephalus (sperm whale), 434 nucleotides long. RefSeq lists it as uncharacterized. NCBI's taxonomy places the organism in Eukaryota, Metazoa, Chordata, Mammalia, Artiodactyla, Physeteridae. The transcript has 3 exons. The record is from RefSeq and is a predicted model, not a curated record.
GGGCUUCCAAUUCUGUGUUGAAGAAAAGUGGCGAGAAUGGGCAUCAUUGUCUUGUUCUUGAUCUUAGAGGAAAAGCGUCAUCAUUUUGACUGUCCCUUUCCAGAGCCCUGUUGAGUUUUUCCUUCCCCCUUUAUAUGAAUCUUGAUCUCUACUCCUUCAAAGGGGACCCAGGUUCGAGCCCUAGUCUGGGAAGAUCUCACGUAUCACGGAGCAACUAAGCCCGUGUGCCACAACUACUGAGCCUGUGCUCUAGAGCCCGUGAGCCACAACUACUGAAACCUGCACGCCUAGAGCCCGUGCUCCACAUCAAAAGAAACCACCGCAAUGAGAAGCCCACGCACCACAACGAAGAGAAACCCACGCACUGCAACGAAGAAGAGUAGCCCCUGCUUGCCGCAACUAGAGAAAGCCUGCGUGCAGCAACGAAGACCCAG